CCCAGACUCCUACGGGAGGCAGCAGCGGGGAAUAUUGCACAAUGGGGGGAACCCUGAUGCAGCGACGCCGCGUGGGCGAGGAAGUAUUUCGGUAUGUAAAGCCCUCUCGGCAGGGAAGAAGAAAUGACGGUACCUGAAUAAGAAGCACCGGCUAAAUACGUGCCAGCAGUCGCGGUAAUACGUAUGGUGCAAGCGUUAUCCGGAUUUACUAGGCGUAAAGGGAGCGCAGGCGGCGCGCCAAGUCUGAUGUGAAACCCCGGGGCUCAACCCCGGGCAUGCAUUGGAAACUGGCGGGCUGGAGUGCCGGAGAGGUAAGCGGAAUUCCUAGUGUAGCGGUGAAAUGCGUAGAUAUUAGGAGGAACUCCAGUGGCGAAGGCGGCUUACUGGACGGCAACUGACGCUGAGGCUCGAAAGCGUGGGGAGCAAACAGGAUUAGAUACCCCGGUA
RNAcentral lists this ribosomal RNA (447 nucleotides) under uncultured bacterium. Its description in RNAcentral is "partial 16S ribosomal RNA". It matches the Rfam family "Bacterial small subunit ribosomal RNA", at positions 330 to 792 of the family's 1533-position model. The record is from RNAcentral.